This 253-nucleotide ribosomal RNA is filed under the name uncultured bacterium. Its description in RNAcentral is "partial 16S ribosomal RNA". It matches the Rfam family "Bacterial small subunit ribosomal RNA", at positions 524 to 776 of the family's 1533-position model. The record is from RNAcentral.
UACGAAGGGUGCAAGCGUUGCUCGGAAUUAUUGGGCGUAAAGCGCACGUAGGCGGCUUUGCAAGUCGGAUGUGAAAUCCCUCGGCUUAACCAAGGAAGUGCAUCCGAAACUGCAGAGCUUGAGUACUUAAGAGGAUCGUGGAAUUCCCGGUGUAGAGGUGAAAUUCGUAGAUAUCGGGAGGAACACCAGUGGCGAAGGCGGCGAUCUGGGAAGAUACUGACGCUGAGGUGCGAAAGCGUGGGGAGCAAACAGG